RNAcentral lists this ribosomal RNA (253 nucleotides) under uncultured bacterium. RNAcentral's name for it is "partial 16S ribosomal RNA". It matches the Rfam family "Bacterial small subunit ribosomal RNA", at positions 524 to 776 of the family's 1533-position model. The record is from RNAcentral.
UACGAAGGGGGCUAGCGUUGCUCGGAAUCACUGGGCGUAAAGGGUGCGUAGGCGGGUCUUUAAGUCAGGGGUGAAAUCCCGAAGCUCAACUCCAGAACUGCCUUUGAUACUGAAGAUCUUGAGUUCGGGAGAGGUGAGUGGAACUGCGAGUGUAGAGGUGAAAUUCGUAGAUAUUCGCAAGAACACCAGUGGCGAAGGCGGCUCACUGGCCCGAUACUGACGCUGAGGCACGAAAGCGUGGGGAGCAAACAGG